This is a non-coding RNA of Doryrhamphus excisus (bluestripe pipefish), 1653 nucleotides long. The record is from RefSeq and is a predicted model, not a curated record. NCBI's taxonomy places the organism in Eukaryota, Metazoa, Chordata, Actinopteri, Syngnathiformes, Syngnathidae.
ACGAGACACAGAACGUCUUACAACGGCCUCACGUUAGCCGUUAGUGCUUGAAGUAUACCUUUUGAUGGACUGCAAGACGUCCUUCUUUGGAGAGGAGGGGGAGGACAGGAGGCGUUUGUGUUGCAUGUAGCCGUUGCUCAGCGGCUUGGAGGGUAGAGUCUGCAGCAGCUGACGCACUGACGGCAACAAAGCUAGCAAUCGGUCAUGGAGGAUACUUGGUGACACACAAAAUCAGAUAAGAGACUUCCCUGCUCACCCUUGGUAGGCGGGGUCGCAGUGGCUCCCCCCAGGGACCUCCUCCCAGCGGCUUGAGCACCCGAUGCCUGCGAGGCCAGGCUGUGCUCCUCGCAGUAGCCCAGACGUCGCAGGGCGUCGGCCAGGGCGGCCUUCAGCAGCUGGAUCUCGUCCUCCUGGAGCUGCAGUUUCUGUUCCAGGUGGGACACGCGGUCCUCCAUGUCCAUGUUGCUGCCCGCCGACAUGGUGUCGUCUGCAAGACACAUUGGGACAUUUCUACGCUCUCUGUUGCUGCUUUGUGUUGCAUGCUUGGAGGACUUUGUUGGGGAGGAACGGUGACCUCUCAUAAAUGGACACACCGUUUUGUCACUUUCUAGAUCCUGGAGCUGUCCCAAUACUUUUGUCCAUGUAGUGUGAGAGGUUUUAAGUUUCUCCCAGGCUGAAAGAAGAGCUUAGAGGAAACAUAACCAUGUUGAAUAAUUCAGAUUUGGUGUGCAGGUAAUAGAAAGAAGAAAAAACAAUGAAGAUUAUUUGACUGGUGUGUUUAAAGUCAUGUGGGAUGCUAGCAUGUCUAUCGCUGCACAAAAUGAGACCAACAACCAUAAACCAAGACCUUCAUGUUUAAAAACAUGAGCUCAUGGCGCACAUUUCUCAUGACAAAAACCAAAAAGGCUCAGUUUUGCCCUUCGCCGCAAUGUCAUCGAGCCCUGUCGCAACCAAACACCACAGAUGGAUGGCAGGCCUGCGAUAAGACAAUGACAAGAAUGGCUGCGGAGUAGUCCAAUCCAAAAAAUCCAAACUAAAGCGUUAACAAUUUUAAGUAUUUCUUGUUUUUCCAACUUCUGACUCCAUCCAGCUCUUCGUGCUUACUGUCUGAUCAUCCGCCACAAUGACAUCAAGAGUGGAAAAGACGAUUAAUGAGACAAAAAUGUGCAUCUGCCGCCCACAUGAGCAGAUUACACAAAAACUACAACAACUUUAUUUGUAAUCUAAGUAGAAUCUAACCGACAACACAGAGUCCAUGAACUAUUCUUCUCACUUGCCUCGCAGGAAAUUUGUUAUGGAUGAUUAAAGCCUCACAAGUGAAAAGUUAAUUGUGGUGGUAUCACAUCUGGCAGUGAAAUGAGACAGGAAGCAGCGUUAAUAUUUCCAUAACGGCAUGAAGAUGGAUGGGGAUAAGGAGGACGAACAAUGCGGCAGCAGUUCAGACCGCUCACUUCCUUCAAACAGUCUCUUUGCUGCUACUGGCAACUUUAAAUCCAUGCAGGGCAGGGUGGUACACACUUUUUUUACAGAAAUAAAUACAGUUUUUAGCAUUAUUAGAACCCUCUAUACAUGAAAUAGCACCCCUAUAGUCACAUUUACACUUGUACAGUAUUACCCAAUAUAUUCAAAACAAUAAGAAAAAAAUACAAAUUG